AAAUUUGCGGGCAAUAAAGUGUCAGGUUUCAGUAAAUAUCCAGUGAUUAUAAAGAAAAGGAGGUGAAAUGUUGCACAAAAUAUUUUAUAUCCCGUUAAUAUAUUCUAGUUUGAACGGAAAUAUAACAAAGUUUCCUGAGGGAGGCCUGGACAAGAAGACUAUUAUUGAACGAGAUUAUCAAAUGGUUCAUGAAGCUUCUGAGCAAGCCCCUACUCUAGAAACAAUUGACUUCCCGCAGUUAAAAAACAAUGCAGAAGAGUCAAAUUCUAAGAGCCGAAAGCCAGAACUAAUUAUUCCAAACAGUGAAGAUAAAAAUGACGAAUUCUGUACUUGUGGAAGAAGAAAUGAAAUUCAGGCAAUUAACACAGAACGAAUAUCUGGUGGAGAAAGAAUACCAGAAAAUGUGUACCCUUGGCUUGUGAGAAUAACUGGAGGCUGUGCUGGAGACUGUGGCGGCUCAUUGAUCAGUAAUAAGUUUAUUUUGACUGCCUACCACUGCUUGCAAGCAUUUGACGAGGACGGGCGAAUAAUUCCUGGUGUGUGCAAUCAUGAAAACGGGAAAAGAAAAGCCAUUUUAGGAAUCUACAAUGGCGAAGAUUCUGAAUUUCAGAUUGUUAGAACAUUGACACAAUUUGUCUUCCCUGAAAAUCCAGGACUAAAUUUAGAGGAUACAACAAGCCAUGAUAUUGCGAUGUAUAUCCUGGCUGACCCUGUUCAGUUUUCUCCAACUAUAAGGCCAGUUUGCCUGCCCAAGUUUCAAAAUGAGGACUUGGUAGGAGUAUCAGCUGUUGCAGCUGGCUGGGGACAAUAUGGUGUGCAAAGCCCUCUUUCUGUGUAUCCCAGGGAAGUAAAUUUAAUAGUUGGAACCACCCUCACUCAUUCUAAGAUGUUUACUACUCUGGUAGAAAGGAAUGAUGAUGGCGUCUUUAAGGAAGGAUCCGUGUGCUGGAGACAGUGGGGGUCCGUUGAUGAUUAAAGAUGAGCACAAUAUCUAUACUAUUAUCGGAACAACAAGUGUAGGGGGGAGGAUAUCUGUGUGAUGCGGAUAGUCUAGUAGCAACUGUUUUGUUUGGAAUUUGAGAGAAAUCAUCAUCCUUGGAGUAUCAUCAGAGACCCCUUUCUUCGGAGACCCUCACCAAAAUCUCAUCAGAAACUCGUUCAUGGGAGACCUCAACUUGUCAUCUGAUACCCUCAAGAUUUUCAUUGGAGACCCCAAGCUUUUCAUUGGAGCCUACAUAUUUUUAUUGGAGACCCCAAGUUUUCGUCAAAGCCUCAACAUUUUCAUCGGAGACCCGUAAAUAUUCUCCCAGAACCCCAAAUGAAAGUCUUGGGGUCUCCGAAUGAAAAGCUUGUGGUCUCUAUAAUGAAAAACUUUGGGUCUCCAAUGAAAUUCUGAGUGUAUCCAUUGAAAAUCUGGGGGUUUCCGAUGAAAAGCUUUGAACCUCCAAUGACAAGGUCUGGGUAUCCAAUGAAAAUCAGGUUGUCUCAAAAGAAAAGCUUAAAGUCUCAAUUAUAAAAGUUGGGCAUCUCCGAUUAGAAAAAAACUGGAGUUGUCAAAAAAAAA
Eurytemora carolleeae is the source of this 1564-nucleotide RNA transcript. It is a transcript of the gene named chymotrypsin-like protease CTRL-1, with no coding region annotated. The transcript has 20 exons. The record is from RefSeq and is a predicted model, not a curated record. Lineage: Eukaryota; Metazoa; Arthropoda; Copepoda; Calanoida; Temoridae.